UAGCUUACCACACUGAUGUUGAC
This 23-nucleotide microRNA is filed under the name Gallus gallus (chicken). Its description in RNAcentral is "microRNA Ros-gga". The record is from RNAcentral. Lineage: Eukaryota; Metazoa; Chordata; Aves; Galliformes; Phasianidae.